Molecule: ribosomal RNA, 440 nt
Filed under: uncultured bacterium
Lineage: Bacteria
Description: partial 16S ribosomal RNA
Rfam family: Bacterial small subunit ribosomal RNA
Source: RNAcentral
CCUACGGGAGGCAGCAGUGGGGAAUAUUGCACAAUGGGGGAAACCCUGAUGCAGCGACGCCGCGUGAGUGAAGAAGUAUUUCGGUAUGUAAAGCUCUAUCAGCAGGGAAGAAAAUGAGGGUACGUGAUUAAGAAGCGACGGUUAACUACGUGCCAGCAGCCGCGGUAAUACGUAGGGGGGAAGCGUUAUCCGGAUUUACUGGGUGUAAAGGGAGCGUAGGCGGCAGUACAAGUCUGGAGUGAAAUGCCUGGGCUUAACCCCGGUACUGCGUUGGAAACUGUGGAGCUAGAGUGCAGGAGAGGUAAGUGGAAUGCGUGGUGUAGCGGUGAAAUGCGUAGAUAUUAGGAAGAACACCAGUGGCGAAGGCAGCUUACUGGACUGUAACUGACGUUGAGGCUCGAAAGCGUGGGGAGCAAACAGGAUUAGAUACCCCUGUAGUC